AAUGUGGAAUUCGCCCUUUGCCCGCCGCGCGCGCCGGGCGGGGCGGGGGCACGGGGGGCCUACGGGAGGCAGUGGGGAAUAUUGCGCAAUGGGCGCAAGCCUGAUGCAGCGCCGCGUGAGGGAUGGAGGCCUUCGGGUUGUAAACCUCUUUUGUUUGGGAGCAAGCCUUCGGGUCAGUGUACCUUUCGAAUAAGCGCCGGCUAACUACGUGCCAGCAGCCGCGGUAAUAAGGGCGAAUUCCACAGUG
This 247-nucleotide ribosomal RNA is filed under the name uncultured bacterium. Its description in RNAcentral is "partial 16S ribosomal RNA". It matches the Rfam family "Bacterial small subunit ribosomal RNA", at positions 52 to 536 of the family's 1533-position model. The record is from RNAcentral. RNAcentral also lists the same sequence under 1 other name.